This 1530-nucleotide ribosomal RNA is filed under the name Escherichia coli. Its description in RNAcentral is "bacterial SSU rRNA". It matches the Rfam family "Bacterial small subunit ribosomal RNA". The record is from RNAcentral. Lineage: Bacteria; Pseudomonadati; Pseudomonadota; Gammaproteobacteria; Enterobacterales; Enterobacteriaceae. RNAcentral also lists the same sequence under 1 other name.
AGAGUUUGAUCAUGGCUCAGAUUGAACGCUGGCGGCAGGCCUAACACAUGCAAGUCGAACGGUAACAGGAAGAAGCUUGCUUCUUUGCUGACGAGUGGCGGACGGGUGAGUAAUGUCUGGGAAACUGCCUGAUGGAGGGGGAUAACUACUGGAAACGGUAGCUAAUACCGCAUAAUGUCGCAAGACCAAAGAGGGGGACCUUCGGGCCUCUUGCCAUCGGAUGUGCCCAGAUGGGAUUAGCUUGUUGGUGGGGUAACGGCUCACCAAGGCGACGAUCCCUAGCUGGUCUGAGAGGAUGACCAGCCACACUGGAACUGAGACACGGUCCAGACUCCUACGGGAGGCAGCAGUGGGGAAUAUUGCACAAUGGGCGCAAGCCUGAUGCAGCCAUGCCGCGUGUAUGAAGAAGGCCUUCGGGUUGUAAAGUACUUUCAGCGGGGAGGAAGGGAGUAAAGUUAAUACCUUUGCUCAUUGACGUUACCCGCAGAAGAAGCACCGGCUAACUCCGUGCCAGCAGCCGCGGUAAUACGGAGGGUGCAAGCGUUAAUCGGAAUUACUGGGCGUAAAGCGCACGCAGGCGGUUUGUUAAGUCAGAUGUGAAAUCCCCGGGCUCAACCUGGGAACUGCAUCUGAUACUGGCAAGCUUGAGUCUCGUAGAGGGGGGUAGAAUUCCAGGUGUAGCGGUGAAAUGCGUAGAGAUCUGGAGGAAUACCGGUGGCGAAGGCGGCCCCCUGGACGAAGACUGACGCUCAGGUGCGAAAGCGUGGGGAGCAAACAGGAUUAGAUACCCUGGUAGUCCACGCCGUAAACGAUGUCGACUUGGAGGUUGUGCCCUUGAGGCGUGGCUUCCGGAGCUAACGCGUUAAGUCGACCGCCUGGGGAGUACGGCCGCAAGGUUAAAACUCAAAUGAAUUGACGGGGGCCCGCACAAGCGGUGGAGCAUGUGGUUUAAUUCGAUGCAACGCGAAGAACCUUACCUGGUCUUGACAUCCACGGAAGUUUUCAGAGAUGAGAAUGUGCCUUCGGGAACCGUGAGACAGGUGCUGCAUGGCUGUCGUCAGCUCGUGUUGUGAAAUGUUGGGUUAAGUCCCGCAACGAGCGCAACCCUUAUCCUUUGUUGCCAGCGGUCCGGCCGGGAACUCAAAGGAGACUGCCAGUGAUAAACUGGAGGAAGGUGGGGAUGACGUCAAGUCAUCAUGGCCCUUACGACCAGGGCUACACACGUGCUACAAUGGCGCAUACAAAGAGAAGCGACCUCGCGAGAGCAAGCGGACCUCAUAAAGUGCGUCGUAGUCCGGAUUGGAGUCUGCAACUCGACUCCAUGAAGUCGGAAUCGCUAGUAAUCGUGGAUCAGAAUGCCACGGUGAAUACGUUCCCGGGCCUUGUACACACCGCCCGUCACACCAUGGGAGUGGGUUGCAAAAGAAGUAGGUAGCUUAACCUUCGGGAGGGCGCUUACCACUUUGUGAUUCAUGACUGGGGUGAAGUCGUAACAAGGUAACCGUAGGGGAACCUGCGGUUGGAUCACCU